GUGUUGUAUGAAAGGAGAGAAGGUUAGCACUCCCCUUGACAAGGAUGGAAGAGGUCCUUGGGCCUAACUACAUGUGUACAGUUAAGGCAUUGCCACCUGUGGUGAUUUUGUGUUC
This 115-nucleotide non-coding RNA is filed under the name Peromyscus maniculatus bairdii (prairie deer mouse). Lineage: Eukaryota; Metazoa; Chordata; Mammalia; Rodentia; Cricetidae. The record is from RNAcentral.